CCUACGGGUGGCAGCAGUGAGGAAUAUUGGACAAUGGACGAGAGUCUGAACCAGCCAAGUCGCGUGAGGGAUGACGGCCCUAUGGGUUGUAAGCUUCUUUUAUAUGGGAGUAAAAUGUUCCACGUGUGGAAUUUUGUAUGUACCAUAUGGAUACGGAUGGGCUAACUCCGUGCCAGCAGCCGCGGUAAUACGGAGGAUCCGAGCGUUAUCCGGAUUUAUUGGGUUUAAAGGGAGCGUAGUGGGAUUGUUAAGUCAGUUGUGAAAGUUUGCGGCUCAACCGUAAAAUUGCAGUUGAAACUGGCAGUCUGGAGUACAGUAGAGGUGGGCGGAAUUCGUGGUGUAGCGGUGAAAUGCUUAGAUAUCACGAAGAACUCCGAUUGCGAAGGCAGCUCACUGGACUGCAACUGACACUGAGGCUCGAAAGUGUGGGUAUCAAACAGGAUUAGAUACCCCAGUAGUC
Molecule: ribosomal RNA, 460 nt
Filed under: uncultured bacterium
Lineage: Bacteria
Description: partial 16S ribosomal RNA
Rfam family: Bacterial small subunit ribosomal RNA
Source: RNAcentral